RNAcentral lists this ribosomal RNA (1210 nucleotides) under Curtobacterium sp. Its description in RNAcentral is "bacterial SSU rRNA". It matches the Rfam family "Bacterial small subunit ribosomal RNA", at positions 80 to 1300 of the family's 1533-position model. The record is from RNAcentral. Lineage: Bacteria; Bacillati; Actinomycetota; Actinomycetes; Micrococcales; Microbacteriaceae.
UUGCUCCUGUGAUUAGUGGCGAACGGGUGAGUAACACGUGAGUAACCUGCCCCUGACUCUGGGAUAAGCGUUGGAAACGACGUCUAAUACUGGAUACGACUGCCGGCCGCAUGGUCUGGUGGUGGAAAGAUUUUUUGGUUGGGGAUGGACUCGCGGCCUAUCAGCUUGUUGGUGAGGUAAUGGCUCACCAAGGCGACGACGGGUAGCCGGCCUGAGAGGGUGACCGGCCACACUGGGACUGAGACACGGCCCAGACUCCUACGGGAGGCAGCAGUGGGGAAUAUUGCACAAUGGGCGAAAGCCUGAUGCAGCAACGCCGCGUGAGGGAUGACGGCCUUCGGGUUGUAAACCUCUUUUAGUAGGGAAGAAGCGAAAGUGACGGUACCUGCAGAAAAAGCACCGGCUAACUACGUGCCAGCAGCCGCGGUAAUACGUAGGGUGCAAGCGUUGUCCGGAAUUAUUGGGCGUAAAGAGCUCGUAGGCGGUUUGUCGCGUCUGCUGUGAAAUCCCGAGGCUCAAACCUCGGGCUUGCAGUGGGUACGGGCAGACUAGAGUGCGGUAGGGGAGAUUGGAAUUUCCUGGUGUAGCGGUGGAAUGCGCAGAUAUCAGGAGGAACACCGAUGGCGAAGGCAGAUCUCUGGGCCGUAACUGACGCUGAGGAGCGAAAGCGUGGGGAGCGAACAGGAUUAGAUACCCUGGUAGUCCACGCCGUAAACGUUGGGCGCUAGAUGUAGGGACCUUUCCACGGUUUCUGUGUUGUAGGUAACGCAUUAAGCGCCCUGCUUGGGGAGUCCGGCCGCAAGGCUAAAACUCAAAGGAAUUGACGGGGGGCCCGCACAAGCGGCGGAGCAUGUGGAUUAAUUCGAUGCAACGCGAAGAACCUUACCAAGGCUUGACAUACACCGGAAACGGCCAGAGAUGGUCGCCCCCUUGUGGUCGGUGUACAGGUGGUGCAUGGUUGUCGUCAGCUCGUGUCGUGAGAUGUUGGGUUAAGUCCCGCAACGAGCGCAACCCUCGUUCUAUGUUGCCAGCGCGCUAUGGCGGGGACUCAUAGGAGACUGCCGGGGUCAACUCGGAGGAAGGUGGGGAUGACGUCAAAUCAUCAUGCCCCUUAUGUCUUGGGCUUCACGCAUGCUACAAUGGCCGGUACAAAGGGCUGCGAUACCGUAAGGUGGAGCGAAUCCCAAAAAGCCGGUCUCCAAAGGUUUCG